Molecule: unclassified non-coding RNA, 10251 nt
Filed under: Leishmania donovani
Lineage: Eukaryota; Euglenozoa; Kinetoplastea; Trypanosomatida; Trypanosomatidae
Description: gene:LdHU3.12.0610(CDS-product:hypothetical_prote in_conserved)
Source: RNAcentral
UGUAAUCACACACACACAAACUCGUUUUCUUUCUUGCCGACUUGUAACCCGUUGCACAUAUAUAUAUAUAUAUAUAUCUGUGUGUGUGUGUGUGCCAUCGAUUCUGACGUAAAACCUCAAUCGAAAGCUCCGUGCAGUCACGUUAAGCACGCAUAGACUUCAUUUCUCUCCCCCCUCCCACUACCACCUCUUCUACUGCGGCGUGCUGCAUCUCUUUCGCCCUUGCGCCCCUCCAGCACACCUCUGCCUCCCUUGCAUCGCCCACUAGUUCGAUCUCUGUGUUUUCGUUUGGGUUCUGUGGAGGGGAGGGAGCACACAACCACACGCGCGCCCACACUCCUCCUCCCGUCUUCCGUCCGCUGUGUCAGCGACUUCUUUUUUCGUUUCUUUACCCCUCUCCGGCCUUUUUCUUUGUCUUGCAGGCUUUUUUGCCCUCCCCUUCCUCCCCCGCGUGCACACCCGUCUGUCCGCCCGUCUGUCUCCCUGCUUGGGUGUGUGGUUGCACGGCCUGAUCCUGCCGCACAGCCGGCGGGCACGAUCGACUCUGUCCCACCCAAUCUCCCUCUUUCUUCCUCGCUGUCGCACGCCGAGGGAACGCCAACGAGAGGCGUAACGCCCAAUCCCACCGGGGCUGGCAAAGACACAGACGCACACGCACACACACACAGUCACGGAGACGGCUCCACCUGUGUAUGCGACUGUGUGUGUGUGCGCGCCUCCAGUGCUCCCGUUUUCUCCAGCCCGUACGCUUACAUUUUCUUGACAUCUAUAUCUAUAUAUGUGGUUCUCCCGAGCUGAGACUUUGUCCGUCUCUCUGUCUGUGCCUGGGCAUCUGUGUGAUCUGGUGGGUGGCACUGUCUUGGUACGCUCUCUAUCACGCCCUCCCCCCUUCCGUCCCUCUCUCCUCCCAUCCCGAGGCACACGCUCAGCCAAGCGGAGGCGACGACGAAGUUCAAAGAGGGGUUGCCACCACGCGUGUGUGCCUCCUCUUCUUCCGAGUUGCUUCGCCCUCUCACUUCUUUUUGUGUGACCACAACGACACCGAAGCAUAGUCGGAGGCGCAAUGCCCAGCUGUGAGAGUCCGCUCUCCACGACCACCCCAUCCUCUCUGGUGCACCCGCCCGCCCACCUGUGCGACGUCACCGGCGGCACCGCUGCAGCUGCCGUAGCGGGAGCGUCGAGGAUGAUGACGGACAGUGCGGGGAUGUCGUCUUCGUGCCCGUCGGCGACACGCACGGCGGCAAAGACAAGCGGAGGCACCGUUCAAGCGGAGCUUUCGCAGUCGUGUCCACAUCCUCACCAGCACCAGCACCAGCAGCAUCAACAGCCUUGCUUGGGAGGUUUCCUAGAUCCGUUUUUCCUGACGGAGAUCGACGAAAAUGUUCAGGCCUUCAACGGUACUGCUGCGACGAGCGGCUCGCGCACGUCUCUCUCGGGCGACGGUGCUAGUACAAGUGCCAAGGACGCGGCCCUCUGCAGCCCAUGCAUGGAGUGCGUGCCACCGGCGCGUGGAAAGACGGUGCGUAAGUCGCGCUCCGCAUGUGAGCUGCGGCUCGAGUGCCGCCUCAGUACUUUGAUGGGCAGUGAUAUCACGAAAGACGAGGCGGACGACAGUAAGCGGAAGCGGCGACAGCCAUCGUCGUUCCCGUCGUCGUCACGCAGGGACACGGCAGGCUGCUUUUCGAGCUUCGAGGUCAUGGGACCGACAGCCGAGGUGGCUGCGGCGGGCGAAGACAUUGCCACAACCGCGGCGACAGCGACAGAUCCAGAGGCUGAGUUAAAAAGCCAUGAAACAAAGAGGCGCUUGCUGUUGCCUACAUGGGUAACAGCGCGGCCAUCGACUGUGAGGAGAGCAGGGGCACCGUCGACGGAUUCGGGUGUGGCAAGUCGAACGGUGAACGGCUGCUUAGCCUCUCCGCGAUCCUUCAGCUUAUCGCACUCGAAGCCCAGCAGUGACAACCGCGAUGCUUCGGAAGGUAGCUACGUGCUUGACUGCGAGACUACUCUCCUGCCGAGCGAGAGCGUGGCCGCCGCUGUGAGCACCAGCUCCUCGACCGUUAGCAGCUACGCGAGCGAAGCACAGGGAAGGGCGGCGGAAGAGGCGACGAACUGCGCCACCACCGGUGGGACGACCGUCGGAUCUAAGGUGACGUUGCUUGUAUCUUCGAUCAUGCGGUGCACCCCGUCCCGAACGGGCCCGCCCCACUCCGCGUCUUCUACAGAAGGCGGCGCUGCAGAUGCGGAGCGGCUGCCGCCGCUGGAGCUGUACCCACCUGCUGUGCUUCCAUCUUCGAUAGAGGAGCUGCCGUGCGGCGUGGAAUACGACGCAUCUGGCGCGCAUCAUGACAACAUGUACGCCAUGAAGGACAUUACAGUGGCUGUGAAGGAGGAUGCCGACCAGCAACGGUGUGCCUUGGCCGAAGAGCCGACUCUGCAGGCCUCAACCGCGAGCAGGCGCACGCAGCAUACACAAUGGACGAUGCUUCCGUCGCCAGUGACUGCGUGGCUGCUCGGCAGCUCAGCCAUGGGCGCCUCACUUUCGACAGCGCUGUGGAAGGUGGCCCCUCGGUCAAGACCGGCAAUGCUCACGCCGUGUUCGUGCGUUUCCGCACGAGCAGAGCAACAUUCUGUCCAGGUGCUGUCAAGAGCGCUGGCAAAGGGGUCGGCGAUGCGCUCUUGGGCAGAGCUCGAACGCGCGUCACUAUCCUUCCUCGGCACAUGGUCCGCCUCCGUGUCUGCACACCUCUCUGCGGUCCCACCGUCGCUUACCACAGGCUCGACCACGUUACGUGGGUCAUCGGCGCUGCACCUGAUGCUGCCGCCACUAUCCUAUUACGCCUCUGCUGGUACUGAGUCCAUCGCGUACAUCACUCGGGCUCCAUCACGUCCGGCUGCCGCAGCAGAGGAGAUGAUCGCGCGGCAGCCGUGUGAUGUGUGGCGUCUCGCGCGGUGCUACGCGCACUUCGAGCGCGCCGUUGAGCAACGCGGCGACGACGGCGUAUGGUCAGCUCGUGGCAUCAGCUCCCUUCCGACGUGGGAUUCAGUAAAGCUGGUGACAGCUGCUGGCGUUGCUAGUAGGGAUGCGGAGAGCAGCCUGAAUGACGACUGCGAGGAUGGCGGCGCGUGGCUGCUUCCUUCCUUCACUCUUGAUGUUCUUCCUGACACACCUGACACCCCUUCCCCGGCUUCUCCGCAGUUUACUUCGACCUUCCCGUUCUCCUCCGUGGCGUCUGUGCUUCGCGCCGAGAAGGAAGAGGAGGCCUUCGCCUCUGCUGUGAUGUGGACAUUGGAGGUGAUGACCGGCGUGCGUUGAGCUUUUUUUUUUCGAGCUUGACGUGAUCGCGAUCGACAGGCCGAGAGCGAGCGGAAAAAAAAAACGGCGUAUGCCCACAACAGUGCAGCCAGGGGAGGAGGAUAAAGCAGGGAUCGACAGGAACUGUGGUGAAUAGGACGUUGUACUACAGCGGCCUUUUUGGUAAAUUUAGAUGCAUCUUGUCAACGCCGCAAAGAGGUACAGAGCAGCAGCGCCCCCCUUGCCGCCGACGAACAGUGGAAAAGCAGCGAAGACACGAAAAGGACCCCACAAGGAAUGCCAUUUCCACAGGAAGAAAACGGGAGAGAGAGGGGGUGGGGCAAAAAAAGAAGAAAUAUCGGGAGCACGAGCUACUCAUCCCUAGCCCCCCUCCUCCUUACCCCUUUCUCUUGAAGUGGGUACCACUGGGAACGAGGCACAUCCACGUAGGCACACAUGCGCCGUCCUCCUCAUUUUGCCUUCGCUUGUGCAUGUUUUGCCAGGACACCUGCAUCUCUUCUCCCGCAACUCCUCCCUCUCGUGCCGUCGCGUUUCCUGAUGGAGGCGGAUCUGGCGCGCUCUACCAAACAACAAAAUACCGCACCUUUGAUCUCUUUGUUUUCGGGUAUUUCGUUGCCUUCAUAGAAUCGGCGGCGCAUCCGGCAAAGGAGCCGUUUUCGCGGCUCUCGUGAUUUCUGUGCAUGCUGCGGCUCUCUCCCCCUUCUCUCUCUCUCUUGUUCGUCAUGCUUUGCAUCCCUGCCAUGCUCAUCUGCCAUCUGGCUCGCUGCCCUCGUUUCCGCUGCUUUUCUGUUUCCGCGGGCUGAUUCGUUGUAUCUUUAUUUUUUUUUCCCCCUUUUAGCGUUGGCUACUGCCUCCUCCUCCCUCUUGUGCGUGUGUGUGUGUGUGCGAAUGUGCGCCGUUACCUCUGAGCCUGCUCUUUCACCCUGCUCUUCGCUCAAUCAACCUGACGGAGAGAGGAGGAGUGUGCUGCGCGCUUUUAUUUUAUUCGUUUGUUCUGCUUUCGUCCUCGUGCUUGCCGCAUGACGUGGCCAUGGACGCGUACUGAUGUAGUAGCACGGUCCUUGCCGUGUGCACCUGCCCACCUCCCUUCCCCGUUUCAAGAGGGAUCUGCAAAGCACAAAAGGCGCUAAAAGGGAGGGCGAGCGGGGCAGCGCAGCGUGCCCAUACACCACCACACAGGCAAACCAGUAAGUAAGCGUUUCUUUUUUUUUUUUGCUGUUUGUUUCACAAUAACAGAAGCAGGAGUGAUCGCGCGGAAGGUAACGCUGACCGCUUGUUUUUCUUGAAACACGGCGCGAACUCCCUUCCUUCUUUCCACCCACCUACACGGGCACCUCCCCCUCUUCUCGUUCUAUUCCCUUGUACCUCCCUAUUUAUUGUAUUUAUUAGGUGUCAUGUUCAAGCAUAUUAUAUAUAUAUAUAUAAUAUUAUAUAUAUAUAUAUACGUGUAUGUAUGUACCCCUGUCUUUAUUUUUUCUCUUAUUGCCUGUUCAUCUGUAUUUUUUUUUUCUGUUUGGUAUGUAUUUGUGUAUGUAUUUACACAUGGAAAGAGAGUUACACACACAUACAUAUGUAUGUAUAUGUAUAUGUAUAUGUAUAUGUAUAUGUAUAUGUAUAUGUAUAUGUGUGUGUGUGUGUGUGUACGUCUCUUUUCAAACGUGGUCUUCGCGUCUUUUUUGUUGAUGUUUUUUCCCUCUUCCUGCUCUCCUGUUUGGGUCUCCGUGCUCGAAGCUAGAUGUUGCUUCUCUUUUCGUUUCCUAGUACAACCAUCUCGCGCCUUUCUCGCUCUUGGUAUUCCUUUCUACCGCACGCAUCCGCUGCUCAGGAUCGCUGCUGUGCGCAUGUGAUGAGACGCUUUUUCUGUGUCGUUAUGCUGCUGAGGCAGCAUAUUCAUGUGCAUGGACCUCGGGGCACGGGCCCCAUUUUCUAUGCAUGGCUAUUUUUAUGCGACCCACGCCCAUGGGCUUCCGCGCACCUAUUGCACAGCGCUAUAUCUGUUGAUUUUCCUCUGGAACAUACCUGCAGAUAUGUGUUUUCCGUUUCUGGAAAUUAAGCGCACAUGCAUGCGCGCGCUCUCCAUCUCUGAGCCUUGCCCCUACUCCCAUCUAUUUUGCCUUGACGUUUUUCUUACGUUUCUGUCCUGCGUAUUCCCUCCACCUUGUGUUGUACACACGCAUCUGUUUCAAACAUGUACGCCUUCCUGGUUAUUUCUUCUUUGCCUUUUCAACAUUUUUCAUCUGGAUGCUGGAUAUGCCUGCAUCUACACUAUGUGUGGCGGACGCAUCGUCUUCUCCCUACUCCCCAAGCUUUCUCGGUUGCUCUCUCUCCCACCCUCUUUUUGCUGUUUGGAUCGAGGCACCUGCGUGUUUUGCUUCGCCUUCACAACUGGUGCUUGCCCUGCCGCUUUCCUUUGUGUUGUCCUUUUUUUUUCUCUCCUCUUAGGAGAAGCACACGCGCAGCGUACAACAAGCACCGUACCAGUCUGACGAACGGCUACUGUGCGUCUCUCUCUGCCACGCCCUGAAGCACACACACACACACACACACACCUACACCGCCUCUCUCUCUUUUGUGCUCUUUCUGGUUUCGUCUGUCUGUCUGUCUUUCUUCGUUCACUCUUGUAUCCUCUUUCGUUCUUUGUCCAUGUACCGAAACUGUCUUGUGUGUUCUCCGCGUUGCUGCUCCGUUCCGGCCUUCUCUGCUCAGUUGCAUACACCCUCCCCCUCCCACCCCUUCAUUUCCCGCCUGCGUGCGGAACUGUGUGUGUGUGUGCCUAUAACCAGGUGGGGCGGAGCGGAUGUUGCUCAAUCGCAUGACGUUUUGCUUGUGAAGGAGCCAACGUGUUUAUUCUUCUUUUUUAUUUCUGGCCUCUCAUAAAUUUUCUGUUCUUUUUUUUUGGGCGUUUUCAUUGGUUUUCUGCUCCAGUAUAUAUUUUUCUCGUGACCUUGAGGGCGACGUGCUGGUGGCGUCUCCCGUCGCUUUUUCUUUUACUUUUUUUUUUGUUUGGACAGUCGAUCCCGUGUACUCCCAACCCCACCCCGCCUCUUCCUUCGUCUGCCUUCUAUGUUCUUUGCGUAUGUGCUGGUCUACAUUACUUUUUCUUUCUCUCCCCCUUUUUGUCGGUUGCAUCGUCGUCGUGCGUGCGUGUGUGCGCGCGCACCUUCUUUUCUCGUUCUCUCUGUCUUGGUUGCUCCUUUUUUUUUGUGCGGGCUUCUGUUCGAGGCGACGCAUGCGCUCACCGCUCUCCUUUUUUUUUCCUUUAGUUGUUUUUGUUUUCGAUUGUGUGAGUGUGCGUGCUUGAUGUCUUCUUCCCAGUUGCAGCUGAGCAGGGUGUCAAGAGACUAUAUCUAUCUCUCUCUCUCUCCAGCUCGCAUCUCUUUAUCACGCCCACGUUACAGCUUUUUUUUUUCUCUCUUCGUAAUCGCGUGCACACCAACAUGUACGACCGCGCAAAAUUUCGUGACGACGACGAAGCAAGGAUCAGCGCGAGACGAAGGACUUGUGCAGGAACGUGCGUGUGCUGGCAACGACAACGCGUUAUACACAUGACGACAAAGCAUAGAGAAAAACACGCGCGCACACACACGCGGAGAAAAAAGGGCCAGCGAAAGGCAGUACAGCACUUCCUGGCGCAACAUCUCCUUUCGCGUAUAAAACGCUUUCUGGUUUUCUGUUUAUCUAUCCGUAUCUCCAUAUUUUGCGGUGUACACAGCAUUUCUUUCGCGGCAGCGGACCCUCCUCCUAUCCUCUCCAAAGAGAACAAGAGUGUAACGCUCCAUCCUGCGUGCGAGCAUCGGUGACUCCUCGAUUUCCCCACACGACUUUGCACGUUGCUGCCACCACACCAACUCUUGUCGAGCACACGCUCCAGCAUAAAGAAAGUUCAGGAAAGGAAAACGGUAAGAGACAAAAAAAACACAACCGUCAAGACGCAAGGCAGUGAAUGCCAUGCGCGCGCGUACAUGCUUACCCAUACACACGGAGCUCUCUCGCUUUUUUUUCGCGUGCGUGUUUGCCACGGCACAUCCGUGCCAUCACCCCCUCCCCCUCCCUCCCUCCUUGCCCUUCGUUCACUGCCUCUGGCUCGUGGCAACGGUGCUGCACCGUUACCUCGAGCACGCAAGUGGCUAUACAAGCACGCAAAACGGUGAACGGAGAAGUAAGCGAGUGCGCCUAUAUGCCCACGCACCCCCCACACACAUACACAUAGAGGGAACCCUUUCACAACCCGCACCUUCCGUGUGUAUGUGUGUGUGGGCGUGGGUACAUAGGCGCUGCUGCUGCUGCUGCUGCUGCACAUGGCAUCGAGCAAGCAAACAAACGGCUCUAAAAGCCUCCCCCCAAAAAAAAGAAGAGAAGCGCAGAAAGCAGCAAUCAUGCCCUUCUGCUUCCCUCUCUCUUCGUACCGCCUUACUGGCUGAUGCCCAUCCCCGCCACCGCCUUCCUUUCUAUACAUACAUGCAUACACAUACAUACAUGCAUGUAUGCUUGUUCUUGGCUCUUUGCCAGUGCCGUAUUCUCGCGUGGUUUUGUGCCUUCACUUCUUCCGCGUUCUUUCUCUAUCCCUCGUGAGUUUUUCUUUUUCAGAGUUUCCUCGCUUCCCUCAUUUUCUUCGUUCGUUACCGUUCGUGCGUGCUGGUGUGGUGCCAAUGCUGGCUCUCCUCUUUUUUUCUUAAUCUCGCGAGCAGCGAAGUCUGUUUAGGACAAGGUUACAUGGCCCCUCCUGUCUUUCUGUUUUCUACUUCCGUGUCUUGUCUUCUUUUUUGCUCGUCUCCAUUUUCUUCGUUUUGUGCGUCUGUACUCCCUCUUCUGUGAAGCUGUAUGUGGGUAUGCUCUGCUGCUGCGCAAGAAGAGCGCGAGAGCACCGAUGCAGACAAGGGAGUGGGAGUGCGUCCCUGUCUGUCUCAGCCAUCAUUCUCUCCAAAGCCACCCAAUUCGUUUCUCCCAUCCUUCGUUUCUUCUCCUCCUCAAGCUCUAAAAGAGGUGCGUGAUGGCAUGCCGGCUCGUUGUAGCCGUCACAGUGUAACGCAGAGGUCGAUGUGCGGCGGCUUCGUACGUGCUCCUGGGCCACCGUGGGCUCUAUAAUAUGGAUGGUGCAGGAGGUAUACCGUCCUGACUCCCCCUCUCCCCCCACACGCACAAGGGUCGAUCCAUCUCUUUCUCUCUCUGUUCCUGUUAUCAACUUCACUAUUUGCUUUUUGAUUCUUCUCUCCUUUUCUACUUUCGGGUGGCAACAUGGAAGGACUCGGAGGCACGCCUUCUGCACUCCCCUCACCCACCACCACCACACUAUGUCUCCGUCUCUCUGUUCUCUUUUUUUUUGUUUCCUUGCGCGAUGACCAACACGCACGCACACACACGCUUGUAUAUGUAUACACACACAUGCAUGCAGGCAUACAGACGGAAAAAAAAGAAAACAAAGAGAUACUCUGUGGCGCAUGCGCAAUCUUCUUUUUGAAAGAACGGAAGUAUGCUUGUUUCUGCGUGUGUGUGUGGGUGUGUGUGGGGUACCUGUUCUUGUAUCUUCCACUGCAUGCUCUCCUUUCCUAUAUUUUGGACUCCGUAUUGCUCAUCAUGACGCACAUGAGUCGCUCGCUCUCUCUUUCUCUCUGGCUGUCUUUUCUUUUAGUUUUACUGCUUCUCUCCCCCUCUCUGUGUUGAUGUGCGUUCUUGCUCUUGUGUUGCUUCGUCCCCCAUCUUUCUCCCUUCACGGCUGUUUCUCUCUUUUUUUUUUCGUCCCUUUUCAUGGUUGUCUCUCUGUCUUUCGCUAUGGGGAGGGAGGCGUCACUUGGCAUGCACGGCGCAUACCCCCUCCCCGCUCCCUCCCACAUACACAUACACGCACACGCACACACAGAGGCCAUCUUUCUUCUUUUCUCGGUCGUUUUCAGCCCACCUCCCUCUCUCUCUGUCUCUGUUCUUCACCUGUACCACUUCCAUUAUUGCGUCCCUCUUGAGUUUCUUGUGUGCAUGCCUUGCACAUGCAUACACACACACACACACACACACAAACACUCACGCGCGUGUAUGUGCGUGUGCGCGCGCGCGCUUGCGUGAGAGCUGAAGCGGUCUCCCGUUUUUUUUUUCUUUUCUGUUUCCCCCGUUUGUUCCUCGACUUGCGUUACGCGCUGUGGCUCGGCGGCACGCGGCUCUAUCUUGCCCAUGUGCACGCGGCUGUGCGUGGCCCUGAGGUGAUCUUCGCGCUCUCUUUCCUCGUCUUCCCUUCUGCCCCUCCACUUUCCUCAUUUUUUGUUUUCAGUGCCUUGGCGUCCCCGGCCGCGCGUAUGCAGACGGGGCAGCGAGGGCCCACACAAAGUACGCAACAACAACGCAACCAACAACAACAAAGAACGCGGCCGCGGGCGGGAGCGCCUCGAGCGAGAGAGGGACACCGCCGGACUCUGUGACGCCGCCUUUUCUUUUUGCCUGAUGUGCUGUUGCGUUUUGUUUUGCUGUCUUCGAAAUACCGGGAGCUUGCACCUGCUCAUGCUUCGCGCGCGCUCGUGUAUAUGCCAGUUUUUGGGUGCAUAUGUACGUAUACAAGUGCAACGUGUGCGCGUGUGUGUGUGUGGUCUCCAUCUCGCUCUCUUAGCCCCUUCUUGUGUUGUGCGGCCUUCAGGCGAGCGUCCUAUCCUGGCUUUGCCUUCUCCGUGAGGCGAAGGAGGAGGAGGAGGGGUCAUGAGAGCGAGACGACCUCAUCACAGAGAACUGCCAAACGAAUACGUGCAAGCGAGUCGGCGACAUGAGCGGCAGGAAGACAAGCAAACACGGGGGGAGGCAAAGGUGUCUUCAGGAAGCACAUUUUCAGGCAGCCUUGUGCAUGAGAAGCGGCCGAGAUUUCUUUUCAGCGUGCGCGAAAAGAAAAAAAAAACGACAACGAAAAACGAAGAAACCUUCCGUUCACUACCCGACGCGCAUGCACGACUAUCCUGUUCUUU